UACGUAGGGUGCGAGCGUUGUCCGGAAUUAUUGGGCGUAAAGAGCUUGUAGGCGGUUUGUCGCGUCUGCUGUGAAAAUCCGGGGCUCAACCCCGGACUUGCAGUGGGUACGGGCAGACUAGAGUGCGGUAGGGGAGACUGGAAUUCCUGGUGUAGCGGUGAAAUGCGCAGAUAUCAGGAGGAACACCGAUGGCGAAGGCAGGUCUCUGGGCCACUACUGACGCUGAGAAGCGAAAGCGUGGGGAGCGAACAGG
Molecule: ribosomal RNA, 253 nt
Filed under: uncultured bacterium
Lineage: Bacteria
Description: partial 16S ribosomal RNA
Rfam family: Bacterial small subunit ribosomal RNA
Source: RNAcentral